This 105-nucleotide non-coding RNA is filed under the name Clostridium acetobutylicum. RNAcentral describes it as "SAM-I sequence". It matches the Rfam family "SAM riboswitch aptamer (S box leader)". Rfam says of the family: The SAM riboswitch is found upstream of a number of genes which code for proteins involved in methionine or cysteine biosynthesis in Gram-positive bacteria. The SAM riboswitch acts at the level of transcription termination control. The predicted structure consists of a complex stem-loop region followed by a single stem loop terminator region. RNAcentral also lists the same sequence under 1 other name. The record is from RNAcentral. Lineage: Bacteria; Bacillati; Bacillota; Clostridia; Eubacteriales; Clostridiaceae.
CACUUAUCAAGAGAGGUGGAGGGACCGGCCCUGUGAAGCCCAGCAACCUGUAUAUGUUAAUUAUACAAGGUGCUAAUUCCUGCAGCGCUAGCUGAGAGAUGAGAA